UGUCAAGGGAUGGGAAUCGAUCACAUUGUGUUCCGCAUACCGGGCAGAUGCCUUGUCCACUAGGCUACCCUGGAC
Cordylochernes scorpioides is the source of this 75-nucleotide non-coding RNA. The record is from the annotation of a GenBank genome assembly. NCBI's taxonomy places the organism in Eukaryota, Metazoa, Arthropoda, Arachnida, Pseudoscorpiones, Chernetidae.